This 497-nucleotide ribosomal RNA is filed under the name uncultured bacterium. RNAcentral describes it as "partial 16S ribosomal RNA". It matches the Rfam family "Bacterial small subunit ribosomal RNA", at positions 28 to 507 of the family's 1533-position model. The record is from RNAcentral.
GAUGAACGCUGGCGGCGUGCCUAAUACAUGCGAGUCGAGCGAACAGACGAGGAGCUUGCUCCUUUGACGUUAGCGGCGGACGGGUGAGCAACACGUGGAUAACCUACCUAUAAGACUGGGAUAACUUCGGGAAACCGGAGCUAAUACCGGAUAACAUGUUGAACCGCAUGGUUCAACAGUGAAAGACGGUCUUGCUGUCACUUAUAGAUGGAUCCGCGCCGCAUUAGCUAGUUGGUAAGGUAACGGCUUACCAAGGCAACGAUGCGUAGCCGACCUGAGAGGGUGAUCGGCCACACUGGAACUGAGACACGGUCCAGACUCCUACGGGAGGCAGCAGUAGGGAAUCUUCCGCAAUGGGCGAAAGCCUGACGGAGCAACGCCGCGUGAGUGAAGAAGGUCUUCGGAUCGUAAAACUCUGUUAUUAGGGAAGAACAAAUGUGUAAGUAACUAUGCACGUCUUGACGGUACCUAAUCAGAAAGCCACGGCUAACUACGUG